Molecule: unclassified non-coding RNA, 253 nt
Filed under: uncultured Caryophanaceae bacterium
Lineage: Bacteria; Bacillati; Bacillota; Bacilli; Caryophanales; Caryophanaceae
Description: uncultured Planococcaceae bacterium contains 16S-23S intergenic spacer region
Rfam family: Bacterial small subunit ribosomal RNA
Source: RNAcentral
UACGGAGGGAGCUAGUGUUGUCCGGAAUUAUUGGGCGUAAAGCGCGCGCAGGCGGUCCUUUAAGUCUGAUGUGAAAGCCCACGGCUCAACCGUGGAGGGUCAUUGGAAACUGGGGGACUUGAGUGUAGAAGAGGAAAGUGGAAUUCCAUGUGUAGCGGUGAAAUGCGUAGAGAUGUGGAGGAACACCAGUGGCGAAGGCGACUUUCUGGUCUGUAACUGACGCUGUGGCGCGAAAGCGUGGGGAGCAAACAGG